This 892-nucleotide ribosomal RNA is filed under the name Burkholderia multivorans. RNAcentral's name for it is "bacterial SSU rRNA". It matches the Rfam family "Bacterial small subunit ribosomal RNA", at positions 63 to 945 of the family's 1533-position model. Lineage: Bacteria; Pseudomonadati; Pseudomonadota; Betaproteobacteria; Burkholderiales; Burkholderiaceae. The record is from RNAcentral.
CGAACGGCAGCACGGGUGCUUGCACCUGGUGGCGAGUGGCGAACGGGUGAGUAAUACAUCGGAACAUGUCCUGUAGUGGGGGAUAGCCCGGCGAAAGCCGGAUUAAUACCGCAUACGAUCUGAGGAUGAAAGCGGGGGACCUUCGGGCCUCGCGCUAUAGGGUUGGCCGAUGGCUGAUUAGCUAGUUGGUGGGGUAAAGGCCUACCAAGGCGACGAUCAGUAGCUGGUCUGAGAGGACGACCAGCCACACUGGGACUGAGACACGGCCCAGACUCCUACGGGAGGCAGCAGUGGGGAAUUUUGGACAAUGGGCGAAAGCCUGAUCCAGCAAUGCCGCGUGUGUGAAGAAGGCCUUCGGGUUGUAAAGCACUUUUGUCCGGAAAGAAAUCCCUGGCUCUAAUACAGUCGGGGGAUGACGGUACCGGAAGAAUAAGCACCGGCUAACUACGUGCCAGCAGCCGCGGUAAUACGUAGGGUGCGAGCGUUAAUCGGAAUUACUGGGCGUAAAGCGUGCGCAGGCGGUCUGUUAAGACAGAUGUGAAAUCCCCGGGCUCAACCUGGGAACUGCAUUUGUGACUGGCAGGCUAGAGUAUGGCAGAGGGGGGUAGAAUUCCACGUGUAGCAGUGAAAUGCGUAGAGAUGUGGAGGAAUACCGAUGGCGAAGGCAGCCCCCUGGGCCAAUACUGACGCUCAUGCACGAAAGCGUGGGGAGCAAACAGGGAUUAGAUACCCUGGUAGUCCACGCCCUAAACGAUGUCAACUAGUUGUUGGGGGAUUCAUUUCCUUAGUAACGUAGCUAACGCGUGAAGUUGACCCGCCUGGGGAGUACGGUCGCAAGAUUAAAACUCAAAGGAAUUGACGGGGACCCCGCACAAGCGGUGGAUGAUGUGGA